RNAcentral lists this ribosomal RNA (253 nucleotides) under uncultured bacterium. RNAcentral's name for it is "partial 16S ribosomal RNA". It matches the Rfam family "Bacterial small subunit ribosomal RNA", at positions 524 to 776 of the family's 1533-position model. The record is from RNAcentral.
UACGUAGGUGGCAAGCGUUGUCCGGAAUGAUUGGGCGUAAAGCGCGCGCAGGUGGUUUCUUAAGUCUGAUGUGAAAGCCCACGGCUCAACCGUGGAGGGUCAUUGGAAACUGGGGAACUUGAGUGCAGAAGAGGAAAGUGGAAUUCCAAGUGUAGCGGUGAAAUGCGUAGAGAUUUGGAGGAACACCAGUGGCGAAGGCGACUUUCUGGUCUGUAACUGACACUGAGGCGCGAAAGCGUGGGGAGCAAACAGG